GUGACAGAUAUACCCAGCGGUGGAUUUGGAUGACUUUUUAUUGAUUUCCAGGCCUUUAUGGACUCAUCUUCCAUCUAUGGUGGCCUUGUACAAGCAUGGGGUGGAUAUAAGGUCUACAUAGUCGCCCCUGAGACACCAGAAGUCACAUCUCACUGGUGAAAGAUAAAGAGAGGAGGAAACAGAAAAACAGAACACAUGCUCAGCCAUCGCUCCUGUGCCUGCUGUGUACCCUGGUGACUUCCAGAAUCGAUGAAGAUGCCCAGCUGAGAGUUUAAGACCUAUAUUCUUAAUGGCUUGCCUGGUAGAAAUUUAUCCCAGUUGUCUCCAAAGUGGCAAAAGUGUGCCUACAGGGAGACAACAUGCAAGCAAAUAAAUACUGCUCACCUGUAUUCUUUACCUACUCUGCAAAAUAUUUUAAAACAAGAAUUAAGGGAGAGAGAAUUAAGGCGCUUGAGAGAAGACUUUGGAAGUGUGGACUUGAUGAGAAGAUCAUUUUGGGUCCACAAAAGAUGUCAAGGCCAUCAGAGUGGGAAGUAUUCAAUAGAGUAAACCACGCAGGAUCACAGCAUGUUCAAUCCUCACGUGACUUUCAUAAGCACUGUCUAGUUUAUCUGCUGUCCAUCCCAACAACAUAGCAUAUCAGACAUACUUGUUUUGUCUGAUAUUGCCAAUUUCCAUUAUGUUCUCUCUGAUUACAGGACCUCUUCCUUUGUCACCUUACAAAAGUCCUAACUGUCUCUAAAGAGCUCAGUUUGGAGUGCACACCUAUAACUCCAGCACUUGGGAGGAAGAGGCAGUUGACUCACAUCAAGUUCAAGAGCAGCCUUGGUAUAAAGGCACUGCAAAAUCAGAUGAUGAUAACCAUCGGGCCUCAUCCCGUCAGCUGGGUAGAUGACUUGUCUGAUUCCUCCCUGAGAUGCCCAAUCAAUUCAGCUGUUGUAAAAAGGAACAAUGGAACUGGGCUGAAACUUCCAGAACCUGAUGGAGUUCCAGCUGCUGAUUCCUCUGCAAACCUACUACAGGAGAACAAAGUCCCCCAGAUGUGCAGGCUUGGAAACAGCUAUGAGAUCUGCUCUUGGCAACUGGAGACUUUUUGGAAGUCUAGCAGAGCCCUUCAAACUGAAGAUCCAUUGGAAUGACCCAGCCUGGUUGUUGGAAUGCAUUAUUGCAUCUACAUUGCUGUCAUGCCUUCAGCAUUUCUUUGAUUCCGUGAAACUGGAGUUGGAGCAACCCUCAGGCGUUGAAGACACUAAACCUUCAAGAACACCUGGCAAAUCUUCCAGCCCAGCCUAGGCCUCCUGCGUCAGCUGAUGAUGCUCAUAGCUAGGCCACCUGCUUCAGCUGACGAUGCUCAUAGCUUGGCCUCCUGCUUCAGCUGAUGCUCGUAGCUCAUUCCUUUUAGCAUGACCUGUUUGCAGCAGGGGGGUCAAUAAUUGGAGGCAACCUUCCUACUAAAACUUUCCAUUCCUAGUACUCCUUUUUUUAGGAUGCAAGGAAACUGAUACUCAGAUAAAGCAGCUUGCAUAAGGAUUCACAGCUGAGAUUCAAGAUUUGGGGAUGCUUACAUCCUCCCUGCAUGGCAAUGUUCACUCCACUUUCAGUGAACCAGAGUGGUGCUUCAGUUCUGAAAGAUGGUCUCCUCCUAGAGAAUGUUAACUUUGACAAUGUAUUUUGCUUUGGGCUGUUUCCAGGUGACCUCUCCCAUGCUUAGCUCCCAAACAGAAGUCAGAGAGACCUCUUUUUUUUUUUUUUUUUUUUUUUGGGGGCUGUCACCUGACUUUGAGAGCAUCCCAGGACAGAGGCCAGAAGCAUCAUUCACACACUACUUAAGACAUGUUGCUGUGGGGUGGAUGGUAUCUUUUGGGGACGGAGCUCUCUCUAGUCAGCUCUUUAGGCCACUCUACGUAUGGUUAACUAGCUUCUUUCUCUGGAUGUUCUUUAUCCGUCUAACUUUCCCAGUGCUUUUGGCAGUGCCCCAGAGCAAAUUCAAGGCCAUCAAAUGUCUGCCACUAGGCUCUAUCAGGGACUCUUUUACGUCUGUUUUCCAUUAUCAUCUUACAUUGCCCAGGCUGGCUUCAAACACGGAAGCCUCCUUGCUUAACAUCCCCAGAAUUUGGGUUUGCAGAUGUGUCUGCAAAAUGGUGUUUUGCAGUCAGUCUGACUUUCCGUGUUCCCUUCCUGCUCCCCAUUAAUUGGGGCUCUCUUUCUCUCUUUAUUGUAGCUUGACAAGCUGUCUACAAUGGGAAUAUCACCUUCCUAUGUUUGCUCCUGCAUAUUAAUCCCCAUUCUUUAUUAUAGUAGACAGUGGUGAAAGACCAGACAAGAAUAAAAGCAAAAUCACAAUUUUGAUUAUACACACACACACACACCACACACACACACAAAACCACAGAUAACACAGGGGCUCAGCAUACUGGUGAAGAUGUGGACUUGCCCAGCUGACGCUGCCAUCUUCCUGAUGUUCUUUCUCUAUGUUCUAACACCUCUCCUGUUAAUCUAGAUGUAAGUGGGCUCCAGUUUCCACUAAAGGUACUGCUACUGGCUGAGGAGACCGCCCAGUGGGUAAAGCAUGUGGCAUGUAAGUGUGAAAACUCGAGUUCAAAUCCCCAGAACCCAUGUAAAACUGGGUAUAGUAGCCUGCAACUGUAAUCCUUGUGCUCCUACGGGGAGAUCUGAGGCAGGGGCAGAUGUAUCCCAGGAGCCUCUGAGUCUGUACCUGGUUUCCUGGCAUAUGCUACACAAAACAAAGAGACUCUGCCUAAAUCAAAAUGAGAAGGGAGAACUGACACGUGUGGUUGUCCUCUGACUUCUGAUCU
This is a long non-coding RNA of Mus musculus (house mouse), 2816 nucleotides long. RefSeq annotates it as predicted gene, 32535. NCBI's taxonomy places the organism in Eukaryota, Metazoa, Chordata, Mammalia, Rodentia, Muridae. The transcript has 5 exons. The record is from RefSeq and is a predicted model, not a curated record.